This is a long non-coding RNA of Populus trichocarpa (black cottonwood), 722 nucleotides long. RefSeq lists it as uncharacterized. The record is from RefSeq and is a predicted model, not a curated record. Lineage: Eukaryota; Viridiplantae; Streptophyta; Magnoliopsida; Malpighiales; Salicaceae. The transcript is spliced from 2 exons.
UCAAAUGCAAUACAAUUAUCGUGUUUCUCCCCUUCUAUUCCAUUUUAUCUUUCCUCAUCUCCCUUACUCAUUCCUCUGUUAUUCUUCGUAUUCUUAUGUUAGCUGGGAAGGCCACUGCCACCGUAGCAAAUCAAUUAGAUUCUCUUCUAAUUGGUUCUCUCAAUGUUCAGCUUGCAACAUAGGCUUUUCUGAGAUUUGUUAUAUGGAAAGUCAUUUUUAGUUCAAAAAUAAAUCAGAGAUGGAUGAGCUCGAAAGAGACUUGCUGGAGCGAGCUUCACGUUGCCACUCGCCAACUAAGCGAUCGCUGCCUUUACGCUGCUUCCAAAUGGGCAGGGGAGCAACUGUUGUGAAUCGAGCAAGACCCUGCAAAGUUCACUCCUACAAACACCAGAUUCCAACGUGGAAGUUGCAGCAUUCAUCGAAGAAGAUUCCGAACUAGUGACAUUACCUCUACGGCUCUACCGCCUGUUACUGGCAUGUCUUAUGCGUCCACUCCCGUAUUGGAGGAAGAUGAUGUGAUCAAAAGAUGGUGACUUCUACCUUCUAGCCAAGUCCUCCCUUGAUUGUCGAGAGCAUAAAAGGGCUGCUCAUGUGCUUCCCUAUUGCCAUUGCUCGCUAAUUGUGAUUUUUUGUGCGUGCAAAUUAUGGUAUAUUUCCUCCUUUUAUUCAAUUGGAUCCUUCAUGGAGCAAUCAAUGAAACUUCAUGGUUACAUUUUUUUUAA